UACGUAGGGGGCGAGCGUUGUCCGGAUUUACUGGGUGUAAAGGGCGCGUAGGCGGAUCUGUAAGUCAGAGGUGAAAUCCUGCGGCUUAACCGUAGAACUGCCUUUGAUACUGCAGAUCUUGAGUUCGAAAGAGAGUAGCGGAAUUCCAGGUGUAGUGGUGAAAUACGUAGAUAUCUGGAAGAACACCAGUGGCGAAGGCGGCCCCCUGGGCCUGUACUGACGCUCAUGCACGAAAGCGUGGGGAGCAAACAGG
RNAcentral lists this ribosomal RNA (253 nucleotides) under uncultured microorganism. RNAcentral's name for it is "partial 16S ribosomal RNA". It matches the Rfam family "Bacterial small subunit ribosomal RNA", at positions 524 to 776 of the family's 1533-position model. The record is from RNAcentral.